RNAcentral lists this ribosomal RNA (253 nucleotides) under uncultured bacterium. Its description in RNAcentral is "partial 16S ribosomal RNA". It matches the Rfam family "Bacterial small subunit ribosomal RNA", at positions 524 to 776 of the family's 1533-position model. The record is from RNAcentral.
GACGAACCGUGCGAACGUUGUUCGGAUUCACUGGGCUUAAAGGGCGCGUAGGCGGGCUGCCAAGUCAGUGGUGAAAUCUUUCGGCUCAACCGGAAAAGUGCCCCUGAUACUGGUAGUCUCGAGGGAGGUAGGGGCAUGUGGAACUUCCGGUGGAGCGGUGAAAUGCGUAGAUAUCGGAAGGAACGCCGGUGGCGAAAGCGACGUGCUGGACCUCUUCUAACGCUGAGGCGCGAAAGCCAGGGGAGCGAACGGG